GAUGGACGCUGGCGGCGUGCCUAAUACAUGCAAGUCGAGCGAACAGACGAGGAGCUUGCUCCUCUGACGUUAGCGGCGGACGGGUGAGUAACACGUGGAUAACCUACCUAUAAGACUGGGAUAACUUCGGGAAACCGGAGCUAAUACCGGAUAAUAUAUUGAACCGCAUGGUUCAAUAGUGAAAGACGGUUUUGCUGUCACUUAUCGAUGGAUCCGCGCCGCAUUAGCUAGUUGGUAAGGUAACGGCUUACCAAGGCAACGAUGCGUAGCCGACCUGAGAGGGUGAUCGGCCACACUGGAACUGAGACACGGUCCAGACUCCUACGGGAGGCAGCAGUAGGGAAUCUUCCGCAAUGGGCGAAAGCCUGACGGAGCAACGCCGCGUGAGUGAUGAAGGUCUUCGGAUCGUAAAACUCUGUUAUUAGGGAAGAACAAAUGUGUAAGUAACUAUGCACGUCUUGACGGUACCUAAUCAGAAAGCCACGGCUAACUACGUG
RNAcentral lists this ribosomal RNA (497 nucleotides) under uncultured bacterium. RNAcentral's name for it is "partial 16S ribosomal RNA". It matches the Rfam family "Bacterial small subunit ribosomal RNA", at positions 28 to 507 of the family's 1533-position model. The record is from RNAcentral.